RNAcentral lists this unclassified non-coding RNA (128 nucleotides) under uncultured Ascomycota. RNAcentral describes it as "sequence contains ITS1". Lineage: Eukaryota; Fungi; Ascomycota. The record is from RNAcentral.
AAGAGUUGCAAAACUCCCAACCAUUGUGAACGAACCUUUAUGCUAAGGCGAGCGGCGCUCUGUCGCUGCAAGCUGACGCAUUAAACUCUUAAUUCAGUGAAUAUCUGAGUAGCUUAUUUAAUAAGUCA